AGAGUUUGAUCAUGGCUCAGAUUGAACGCUGGCGGCAGGCCUAACACAUGCAAGUCGAACGGUAACAGAAAGCAGCUUGCUGCUUUGCUGACGAGUGGCGGACGGGUGAGUAAUGUCUGGGAAACUGCCUGAUGGAGGGGGAUAACUACUGGAAACGGUAGCUAAUACCGCAUAAUGUCGCAAGACCAAAGAGGGGGACCUUAGGGCCUCUUGCCAUCGGAUGUGCCCAGAUGGGAUUAGCUAGUAGGUGGGGUAACGGCUCACCUAGGCGACGAUCCCUAGCUGGUCUGAGAGGAUGACCAGCCACACUGGAACUGAGACACGGUCCAGACUCCUACGGGAGGCAGCAGUGGGGAAUAUUGCACAAUGGGCGCAAGCCUGAUGCAGCCAUGCCGCGUGUAUGAAGAAGGCCUUCGGGUUGUAAAGUACUUUCAGCGGGGAGGAAGGGAGUAAAGUUAAUACCUUUGCUCAUUGACGUUACCCGCAGAAGAAGCACCGGCUAACUCCGUGCCAGCAGCCGCGGUAAUACGGAGGGUGCAAGCGUUAAUCGGAAUUACUGGGCGUAAAGCGCACGCAGGCGGUUUGUUAAGUCAGAUGUGAAAUCCCCGGGCUCAACCUGGGAACUGCAUCUGAUACUGGCAAGCUUGAGUCUCGUAGAGGGGGGUAGAAUUCCAGGUGUAGCGGUGAAAUGCGUAGAGAUCUGGAGGAAUACCGGUGGCGAAGGCGGCCCCCUGGACGAAGACUGACGCUCAGGUGCGAAAGCGUGGGGAGCAAACAGGAUUAGAUACCCUGGUAGUCCACGCCGUAAACGAUGUCGACUUGGAGGUUGUGCCCUUGAGGCGUGGCUUCCGGAGCUAACGCGUUAAGUCGACCGCCUGGGGAGUACGGCCGCAAGGUUAAAACUCAAAUGAAUUGACGGGGGCCCGCACAAGCGGUGGAGCAUGUGGUUUAAUUCGAUGCAACGCGAAGAACCUUACCUGGUCUUGACAUCCACGGAAGUUUUCAGAGAUGAGAAUGUGCCUUCGGGAACCGUGAGACAGGUGCUGCAUGGCUGUCGUCAGCUCGUGUUGUGAAAUGUUGGGUUAAGUCCCGCAACGAGCGCAACCCUUAUCCUUUGUUGCCAGCGGUCCGGCCGGGAACUCAAAGGAGACUGCCAGUGAUAAACUGGAGGAAGGUGGGGAUGACGUCAAGUCAUCAUGGCCCUUACGACCAGGGCUACACACGUGCUACAAUGGCGCAUACAAAGAGAAGCGACCUCGCGAGAGCAAGCGGACCUCAUAAAGUGCGUCGUAGUCCGGAUUGGAGUCUGCAACUCGACUCCAUGAAGUCGGAAUCGCUAGUAAUCGUGGAUCAGAAUGCCACGGUGAAUACGUUCCCGGGCCUUGUACACACCGCCCGUCACACCAUGGGAGUGGGUUGCAAAAGAAGUAGGUAGCUUAACCUUCGGGAGGGCGCUUACCACUUUGUGAUUCAUGACUGGGGUGAAGUCGUAACAAGGUAACCGUAGGGGAACCUGCGGUUG
This 1522-nucleotide ribosomal RNA is filed under the name Escherichia coli. RNAcentral's name for it is "bacterial SSU rRNA". It matches the Rfam family "Bacterial small subunit ribosomal RNA". The record is from RNAcentral. Lineage: Bacteria; Pseudomonadati; Pseudomonadota; Gammaproteobacteria; Enterobacterales; Enterobacteriaceae.